AUGGCUAAAUGACUGAAAAGGGAAUCUGGUGGGAAUCCAGAACUGACGCGCAGCGGUAAGAGAGAACGAACACUCAGUGACACUGCGAUCGCGGGAAGUCGAGUUAGUAGGAGACAGUGCUCUCAAGUCCGAAGACCUGCCAGCGGCU
This 148-nucleotide non-coding RNA is filed under the name Vibrio furnissii. Lineage: Bacteria; Pseudomonadati; Pseudomonadota; Gammaproteobacteria; Vibrionales; Vibrionaceae. The record is from RNAcentral.